Heterocephalus glaber (naked mole-rat) is the source of this 11803-nucleotide long non-coding RNA. RefSeq lists it as uncharacterized. NCBI's taxonomy places the organism in Eukaryota, Metazoa, Chordata, Mammalia, Rodentia, Bathyergidae. The record is from RefSeq and is a predicted model, not a curated record.
CCUUCCUGCCUCAGCCUCCUGAGUGCUGGGAUUGCAGGUGUGGAGCACCACUCUGGCGACUUUCAUUUUGUAGACUGUAGUUUCUCCCCUCUCUGCACCCCGCGGCCCCCAGCGUUUCGGGCGCUGCUCUUCCCUGAAUAGCCAUAGCCUCGUGUCUAUCCGCGUAAGGAACCUCUUCUUACUGCUCCGAGGACCCCCGCGCGGGGUGUGUCCCCCUCAGCCCGGGGCCUCCGCCUGGACGCUGUUCUGUGGUUCGGUUCGCUUGGGUGAUGUUAGAUUGCGCUCUGGGCUUCCCCGCUGCAGGCCUCCUGGUUGCUCGGCCUUUCGAACGCAAAGGCAGGAGUCAGGGUGCGACCCUAGCCCAGGGUUUCGUUUGGCUCCGUCUCCGCUCUGCAGCGAGCAGAGCCAGCCAGGAAGAGUCCCGUCCUUCCCGGGGGAGGGCGGGGGGAGCGGCCUGGUUCUCUUGGGCGAGGCCCCGGGUGGCAGAGGCCAGACGCUUCCCUGGCCAUCACCCAGCUCUACUUCCUUUGUGCCCAACCGCAGAUGCGGUUCCGGUUCCGGUUCCGGUUCCGGAGAGAAAAGCAGCUUUCAGCCGGAUCCAGGCCGCGGAUGUCCCGCAGCGCCUCAGCCUGGCGGCCCUGUGGUCCGGAUAGGACGGGCUCCAGGCUCAGAGGAGGCAACUGACACACAGACUUGCAGCCUUUUUUCCAGCGACACCCACAUACGCUUUCCAGGUAUGAAAUUCCAUGAUACAAGCAGAAUCCAAGGACCUCGACCUGGGUGGAAGCUCACAAGUUUAGCUAAUUUGUCUCCUCACCAUAUGAUGAAGAUAUUGUGAUCCCAUUUUGCAGAUAUGACAGCUGGGGUCCCAGAGAGGAUACGCAGUGUUGUGUGACUGCUGAGCUCUCGAAGGCAUUUGUAUGAACUCACGCUGACCAUGGGUGUUUUCCCUGUGCCUUCAGCUCCGGAGCUGUGUGGACAGGGCAUGUACUGCUGUGGCUCAAGCAGUGUGACCCAGAGGACGUGCCGGGUAAUCUGCAGAUAAACAUCUGUUACAUCAGAGAAGUUUGCGAGGGAGGAUGGAGCUAGAGAAAUCACUACUUCUGCCUUCCUAUUUUACAGAGGGAAGACUGAGGCCCAGUUGAAGAUCAACUUCUGGGUUUUUUGUUUGUUUGUUUUGGGUUUUUCUGAGAGGACAGGGUCUUGCUGUGUAGUUCAAACUGGCCUUGAACUCACUGUGCAGCCCAGGCUGGCCUCAAACUCACAGCAAUCCUCCUGCCUCAGCCUCCCGAGUGUAGUGUUGGACAUCUUUGAGCAAGGAUCCUUUAUGUUUGUCGCAGUACCUAUUAAGAACACAGGGUCCGGGGCCGGGGUUUUAGCUCAGUGAUUCCACCGCCUGCCCUGCAAGCACAAGGACCCAAGUUUGAUUCGUGGUACCAAAAAAAAAAAAAAAGAACACAGGGUCCAGGAAGAAGGGAGAAAGGAGGAAGGUGGUGAGAAAGGAGUAUUCACUAAGCAUCGGCAGCACCAGCAUUCAGUCAGGCUCUCCCUUCACCAUGGCAACAUGUGGAGCAGGCGGUUUCUCGUUCAGGAAGGAUGGACCUGAGGUCAGAUGGGAGAUCACGUGUCCAGAGGCACACAGCGUGGGUAAAGCAGAGUCCGAAACAAAGCGAGGCGAGGAAGCUGAGGCUAUGUUCCUCUUGCACCACAGUGAGUCUCGGGUGUGCCAAGGAGAAGCACGGGGCAGAAAGCUGGACCAGUCCACCACGGCGUUGCUUCCAACACCAGUAACGAUGCUGUGUGACCCCAAGAAAGUCCCUCAGUGUCUCCAAGCCUCAGGUUCCCCUUUGAUCCUGAAGGGUGGAUGCUGAGUGCUAAGGUCCCCUCCGCUUGGCAGGGCUGGGCUGCAGCUGACUCUCCCUGCGUUCCUUGGCCACCGAGUGAGCCACUUAAAGAUGACUGAUGCUGCCAGGAGGAUCGGUGUCUCUUUAAUGAGAUCUGUCAAGGUCAGGCCCAGCAAGCUUAUUGGGGGUUUUCUGAUGGAGCCUCUCUUAAUUGCUUGGGGUGAAGAGUUCAGAGUUAAGUUGCAGGGUUAGCCUUUCCGUCUCAGGGCGCUGGGCCUUAAACAGCUGACUGAGGGGCCUUCACUCAGCCCAGUGGCCCUCGCCUCCCUGGGGUAGAAGAGGGGGCUGCUGAGCAAUGGAGAAAUAUGCUGUGUUGGUCACCGAGAAGCAAUGUCAAAUUUCUGGGGCUUUCCUAUGUUUUGGUCUAUGUACUGCCAGGAAGACUUCCACAAACAGCGUUGCUUUCGUGUGUGCUUGUGUGAGUGUGUCUUUUUCUAAAGAUAUUUUAUUAUUCUAUACUUGAAAACAUUUAGGACAGUAAGACAUUUUGAACUACUGUGCUCUGCAGAGUCUAGCUAGCAGUUGCUUUUCUUCUGAUGUGUGUAUUUUCUUUCUCUAAUUUAAUUAAGAUUUAUUAAUAAUAGCAACAGUGACAAUCUGAAGAACUCACCUGUCAAUGGAUACCCCACCCUCUUCUUUCAGACACUAGGAGGUAUUACAUUCCUUCUACCAACAAAUCACUGAGUCUCCGGUCACUUCUAGGCAUUGUCCUGAACACCAGGGAGUUAUCAGAACCAAGGUGAAGUGUCCUUCUUCAAGGGGCACACAGACAGCAAGCAAAUGUUGAUAUAUUUUCAGGUUAUCUGAUUCCAGCUUCAAAACAUCCUUAGCCCAGCAGGUAUUAUAAGGUCAUUUUUACAUGUGCAGAAAUACAGAAGUCCAGAUAAUGAAGUCCAAAGCAUGAUAAGCAAUCUGACUGAAACUCAGACCAUAGACAUUGAGACUUUUUCCUGUAUUACAUCUUCACUGUGCCUGUAACCAUGGAAGGUUCAGUUUCAUCACUAUCCAAUGAAGCCAGUAACCAGAGCGACAGAGUGAUGGGAGAAGAAAGCUUUAUCGGCAUUCAGCUGGCAGGUGGGAGAUGGAGGAGGCUCCCACCCAGGGCCCAGCUCGCCAGGAGUCACAGGUGCAAACACUUCCAUGGGGUUUCUGGGAAAUCUAAUUUUAGCCCCAGCCAGGUGGGCACUGGAAUGAUCAUUAAUUCUUUCCUAGUCCACUCUCUUGUGAUUUCUGCGCUGUCCUCAAGGCGCUAGGCUUUCCUGCAAGCAUAAGGAAAGAUUGCUGACUAGGAGGUCACAAGACUAGUGUUGCUCUUUGAUGUUUUCCCUUAUUCUUCUUUGCAAGAAUUACAGGUUAAUUAUUCCCCGAGUGAGACCUUGGGAGUGAAACAAAACAAUAAUGAGAAGCUGCCUCCCCAGCAUUGUGAGUUAACCCAUUCUUUGGCUUCAAGCCCAGAAGCAGGUAAAUUAGGAAGCUUGGAAACACUCCAUGGGCCCUUGCUUCUUAAUUUCCCUCACACUCGCUUCCAUCCAUUUCCAAUCGAGGCCCCGCUGCAUUUUGUAAACCUGGGGUUUCAUGAGAUCUAGACCAGCCCUCACCAAACUUUGGGUUCAGAGACUUUCUCAGUUUCUCCGGAAACCAGCGGAAGAGAUGAACAUGAAAACAGUCCUCAGACAUAGUUAGGAGGUGUAAUGGAGCUGUGACACCUUCAGUAUUGUGCCUAUCUCCACUCUAAUUCACAAGUUGAAGUCUUAGCCCACAGUGCAACUGGAUUUAGAGAUAGAGGUUUUAGGGAGGUAAAGUUAAGUGAGGUUUUAUGGAUAGGCCCUAAUCUGAUAGGACAGGACUGGUAUCCUUAAAAGAAAAGGAAGAGGCACUGGAGACACAGUCCCAGAGAAGAAAGAACAUGUAAGGACACAGGGAGAAGUCAACGGUCUGCAAGCCAGGAAGAGAGCUCUCCCCAGAAACCAAAUCUACUAGCACCAUGGUCAUAGAUGUCUAGUCUUCCGGACCAUGAGAAAUAAAUUUCUAUUUUCUAAGUCAUCCCCAGACUGCAGUAGCUUGUUAUGGCAGCCCACAUAGGCCAAUAAUAAAAGCAUAGACAGGGCAAAUGAAUUUGAGGAUGGAGGAGAAAGUAGCCCCAGCAAAUGGGACUCAAGAGUACAGUAUAUGUAUGGAACCAUACAUAAUAAUAGUCCAUUCUUGGUAACAUGACAGCAGAAGGGGAAUGGUGGGCAAAUGAGCCGUGACAAGUAGGUGGAGGAUAGUCACAAGGGGUGUGGUAAACCAGGUUGAAGAAUUGGGUUUUUAUCUGAUAGAUGUGGGGUGCCUAUCAGGAGAGGGUCCAAGUCAGAACAAAGAAGAAUGGGGGAGGAGGAGAGCGGUCAGAUGACUAAUGCAGUAGCCCAGGUGAGAAAGGUGUGGCUCUCAACUAGGCCAGUAGGGCAGGAGACAGGGAGAGAGAGAGGGGUGAGGGGAGAGACGCUGUUUUAGGGCAGAGGAAAUUGAGUCACAUGGGGCUGUAUGCUGCUUGGAAUAUUUUGAUUAUAUGUAAAAUGACUUGACUAUAGCCAUGGAUUUAAUCUACUUAGGAGGAAAAGUGUUUGGAAUUCUAGUAUUUCAAAGAAGUAGCAGUAGAGGUUUGCUAAGGUCCCAGAUCUGCAGCCUGGUCUGUAGUUUGGUCUGUUUGGAAGCCAGCAGGAUGCAAACAGGAUGGCCGGAGGCAUGGGGCAGGAUCUGCCUCAGGCUUCGGUAGCAACAUCACAUUUCUUAGCAGAAUGCUGGCUUUGCCUCCUACUUUUUUUUUUUUUUUUUUUUAGCUGAAACUGGAACAGGGAGAUUACAAUGCCUUACUUAGUGGUGGUCAAACUUGGUAACUAUUUUGCUUGGAGCAAAAAGCACUUUGCCCAGUCCAACCCAACCUUGAUGUAUCUUUGGGUGAAUCAUACUCUCUCUGCCCUAUAAUUUCUCAAAAGUGAACCACUUGAGUUAAAUAGUCUUUUUUUGUGCUAAUAUUCUGUGCAUCAAUAUUUAACAACUUGUGUAAAAAUAUAUAGAAAUCGAGAGUUGGGGGAAGAUGAAGGUCUUAUGUCCAAGGAUAAUGUCUAAGUCGGUCUUGAAGUGACAAGCUUUAAAUCCAAAUCAUUUUGCCUGAGCCUGGACUCAUGGAUUCAUGAGUGACUCUAUAGGGAAGAGAAUAUUCACAAAACAUCCAGUCCAGCUUCUUUAUUCUACGUGUGAAGAGACUGAGAAAUGUGAAGGGAGUAAUCUGGUCUCAUACAGUGUGUUAGUAGGAGAGUCAGAAACCAAACCCAGGGCUCCUGACCUAAUCAGGAACCAAACCCAGGGCCACAAGAGGCACUCGGCAAAACACCACAGGCACCUUGUGGGUGAUGCCCCUGGAGUUGUUCAAGGUGGGGCCCUGCUGCUGGCUCUCACCUUAGCAGCCCUCUCACGAUAUGUGUCUAACUGUAGGACAGUUGUCACCUCUCUGAUAGCCUACUCUUGCCUAUUUGAGUGCUUCUAUGGCUAGGUAUACUCAGUGCAUCACAAAGGGGUGUGUUUCUUGCUUUUCUCUUCACGGGCGACCCAGUACAAAUGAGAGCCAUGUCGUACUGGUGUCUCUACCUCUAACAUGUAGCACAGGUGGCUCAUUUAAUGGACACAGAGUGAAUGAAUAUAAUGGAUGCACAACAGAGCGAAUAUAAACUGAGAAAGGUCCUGGAGAAUAGAGAAAGAGAAGAGGCUUAGGAACCUGCAUUCCAAGAGGUGUAAAUAAGACUAGGGUUCCCUCUCAGCUGGUGAUUUCUUGGAUUUAUAGGUCAUCACCCUCAUUAUGGACAGCUCCUCUAAGCCCUCAGCAGGAAAUGCCUCCGUAUCAGGCUCGAUGGCCCAUAUUGAAGACAUAAUCCCUCGGCCCAUGACUCACCAAUGGAUUCCAGAAGGCACAGUGUGGGUGGCCUUCCUCUAUCAAUCAAUGGUGGGACAUCCUGGCUUGUGAUUGGAGCUCCAACUUGCCACCCAAGCUUAUAGGUUUCUCGAAUGAGGCCUGUAUGGAGACCUCUGGCCAUGAGGCUGGCUCAGUUUCUAACCACCCACCAGGAGACUCAGGAAGCCUCCAUAAAAACUGGCUUUUAUGACCACUGACACCCUUGAGUGUGGUCAUUAUGAUUAUUUAGCAUCUGUGAGACACUCUUCAUGCAGUGGGGGCCAGGGAAAGGCAGUUUGGCAGCUUCGACACAAAUGGAUGUUUCUGUCAAUCCCCAAAAUGUUCUUCCUCCCACUGAGAUGAAUUCUGCACAACUGCAUUCAGGAGCUCAUAUAGGCCAGGGUGGAGGUAACUUUAUGUGUCCUGUAUGGACCCAGGUAUUUCUAAGGGAGCUUCUUUAAUCAAAACCCAACAGAGGGGAACCUUCAGUGAACCAGGUUUGGACUUAGGCACUGGCAUUGAUUUGUUCUCUGAGUGACGUUGAUGUACAAAGUCCUUCAUUCAUUCGCUGUCACUCAGUUCCAUAUGUAGACUUCUUCUUUAUGUCAGACCCUGUGUCUGGACUUGACCUAUGUGAUAAAUAAGACAACCAGACAACUCAAAUAUGUGGAGAAGAUAGGCAUGCAAGCAAAAUAUUAAUAUUACAGAUGACGUGUAAGAGCCGAGCUCACAGUAGAGUGGGGGCCUUGAGAAAGGAGCAGCCAACUCCACUGAGCAGGGCCAUGCCGGGAGGGCUUUGCAGGAGAACAAGUUCCAGGUGGCCCUUGAUGAAUGAUGACAGUUUUGGCAUAUGUGAGUGAAGACCUUCCAGGCAGGGGAAUGCCUGCUGCCUUUGGAACAGCAGUCACGCUUCUUGGGGUGCACUUCCUUGUGGACACACUUGGAGCAGCUCCCCGCUCUCUGAUCCCCAUCCCUCCCGCCACUUCCAUGAGAUUCCCUACUGCCCACCCUUCAAUGCCAGUGUUCCCCAGCAUCCCUCCAUGGCUUUCUCACCCUAUACCCCUCUCAGAGGAACUUUCUUACUGUGGUGAUCCCCCAAAUGAUAUCCCACCCUGAUGAGCUUCUUCCUGAACUCCACUCUGCACCUGGCCCCGAUGCUCAUGGAUGCCCUUACCUGAUGGAGAUGACUGUCUGCUCCGGAAACCUUUGUUCAUUCCACAUUUAGCAUCCACAUCCAGCCACUUACUGUAUCCUCAAGCUGCAAGUUACCCUAGGUUCCUCACUUGCCUGGGUAAGUCACAGCAAGCCCAUCAUUCAUCCAUAUGUUAGACUGCUUUUUUUUUUUUUUUCCAGUUCUUUCAUUGCCAGGACUCCGGCCCGCAGUAGGUGAAGGAGAGAUAAAGGAAAUAGGGUCCUGGCCACUGUGGAGCCGAUAGUCACAUUAGAAGAAGGAUACAGGAACCGGUGGGUCUCACCGUGGGUGCAGAGCUCAGCAACAGAGGGGUGUAGAGGACAGUGGCGGCCCAUAUGCCAGUUGGGUCCCUGGGGCGAGGCUAAGCUUCCUCAGGAAGGCGGUGCCUGUGCUGAGCCUCACAGACUGAGCCGGAGCUGUGUAGAGGAGAUGAGGAGGGAAGGAGACCUUCUAAGGACAGGGAAUUACAUGAGGAAAUGGACAGGGCCACAAAUGAUGGUACCAUUGGCUUUUAACAUCUGUUUCCCUGAAAAACAAAACCUGGCUGGAAAAUAGCCUUGAAAACUAGAGAUCACAAAUCUCCAGGAAGUGGGGGAAACAUUUCUCAAGUGGGGCUGGCUGCCUUUGUCCCUAUUUUCAUAGGGGAUGACAUGGACAUAGGGUGAAGAUAAUGGCUCUUUUUUAACAGAAUGACUGAGAACCUGAGGUGGCAGGAGGCUUAGGAGCAUGAGGAAGCACCUUCAGUGUUGAGACAUAAUAUCCCCAAAUGCUUUGGAAGCUAGAAAGAUUUUCUUUUUCCCCACACAGGGGCUGGGGCUGUAGCUCCUGGGUUUGACCUUGACCUCUCUGGGUUGAAUCCACAGAGGCCCAGCACAGAGUAGUGCACUGUUGAGCAAUGCGGACUGCUGGGAGUGCAGCAGCAGCAGACAACAGAGCCUGGCUUCUCCUCAUGGGGGCCUUGGUUACCUUGCUGACCCACUGACUGCCAGCCACAGUGGGACCUCUGCUCUCCGCCACCUCCCGCUAGGAAUGCCGGGAUGUUUGAAACAUCCACACCAGAAGGCGAGCAGGGGACUUGAACUCUGCCCACCCCCAGCUUCAUUCCCCUCAGCCUCCACGUGUUUCUCAUUACAGGGCUGAUGGAAGGGUCUGCUGUGGUUGGCUGAUUUGUCAUCAUGUCCUCCUCCAACUCAGGCCUCCAGAAAGGCUGUAUUCUUAUAGGGAAAGGGGGUUUGAAGAAGAAAGCACAGUUCUUUUUUUUGCAGGGGAGAGAUGGAUUUUAGAACAAGUCUACAUAUUGAUUUUCUUUCUUUUUCUUUUUGUGUGUUUAUUUGCUUUAAAGGGCAGGGGUUUUCUGUUGCCUACGGGCAGAGCAACAUCUCAGGCAGUUCUUUGGAGCAGGUGAAAUGGAGCUGGCCUGGAAAUGAGGGUGAUGACUAUGGAGUCGCCAGCCCUGAGCACCACCUCCUUGUCUGUAGGAGAUUGGUAGCUGCUGUGUUUUAAUUUUUACUCUUUAUGGAUGCACAUCUAUCUCUGUGGCCUUUCGCCUUUGCUCUGAGUAGAUUCUGCUCACAGCACGCAGAGCUGACCCAUCAGCAGUUUGCAUGGCACCAUCCUGUUACCUCGGGCCAUAUGGACUGCUGGCUCAGGUCCUUGAGGCCCAGGUCUUGUAGGAGGUCGGUGAACAUGGUCAUUUUUCUCGUUUAUACUCCAACAAUAGGCUGCCGCCUGCCCUCUGAUAAACAGCCUAUCAUCGUUCAUGACUGAAAUCAGGGCCAGGUUGGUGGAAGUUCCGGAAUGUUCUGGAACAUUUCCUUUAGGGUCAUAACCAUAAUUUCUGACUUAUCAAACCUUGUGAUAUAGAAUGAGCAAGGUAACAGAAUAUAAAUAGCAAAGGAAACCAAGAUGAAUGUGGAAAUGUGCCAGAGAUAUCAGGAGAGGAAACGGUGAAGGAGCCAAAGAGACUCUUUAGAGAAUGAGCUGGAAGUGAGGGGGAGAUAACCUAACAGUGGAUGAAAAGGGACUCUGGUAUUGACUGCCUGAAGUGAACCCAGCCUCUGUCACCUAUUAGCUGUGGGAGCUGAGGUGAGUCACCGUCCCACUGUGAAUCUCAGGUUUCCCAGCUCAAAGGUGGAUAAUAUGACCCAGGUCACUGUGAGCAUGAGGGACAAUGCACGAGAGCUUAACACAGCCUAGCAUCUAAAAGAGCCCCAUGGUAGCCAUAGAAACUGCAUGUUUACAGUGCACCAGGCAUUAUAUUAAGUAAUUUAACUUACUAGGCUAGUUUGAUCUUAAAAGUCACUGUACAGUUGAGGAAACAGGUUUGGGGGGUUUAAGUAAAUGCCCAAAGUUAUGUAGCUGCGAAAUGUGAGAGCUGAGAUUCAAACUUAAGUGAUAGUCUGUCCUAGAAGCUAAUAGCUUCAUAAUUGACGGUAACAGUCCUUUAUCUAGAAUUUGGGAGUGAGAAUUUGGGGGUGAGAAUUGGGGGCCAUUUUCAACCAAGAAUAUUAGAAGAACAAUAAAUGACAGAAGUCAUUUAAAAAUUCCCAAGAGCCAGGUGACAAAACAUUUGCACUAAGGUUAUUUAUUUAACCUUCAUGUUUGGCCUGGAAAAGCUAUAUUAUCAUCUGUAUCUUAGAAACAAGGAAAGAAAAGGCUCAGAGGUAUUGCACAGUUAAAAUGAAAUGGAAGUCCAUCUGGGCCUUGAAGUCAGGCUCUCCCCGUCACCCUGCCACCUCCAGGAAAUCCAUUCAGGGCCUCAUAGUAGGGGCUGCGUGACAUCUCCUGGGGUGGCCCGGGGAGGCUUAUCCUGACUUGCGUCAGAGCUGACAGGGAAGGACGAGAACCAUGAAUAAGUUCCCAAGACACUGGGUCUGAAAUCAGACUCCCAAGGGUAGUGAAGAGGGCAAUUGGAAAGUUACUGCUUGUGGUCGGAGGAAAGUUCGGAAGGAACAUCAGAGGGCAGGAAGAUGGAUAGGAGGGUCUGUAUUUAACACUGGCCCAAGGUGAGGAAGGAAGCGAUCAGCUUAAUUUUAGAAAGGCUCAGACUCUAAGGCUCCUAAGGUAUGAGGCAUGGGAACUUGGGUGAGGACGAUGUGCCAUUUGUCAUCCACUGGUCUCCAGAGGAGUGGCUGGGGCUGAGCUUGAGAUGAACUCCCAGCUGCAUAGAGAAAGGGGGCACUUUGCACAGCUAGUCCAGAGUUAGGUGGAAUCGAUCAAGUGACUUAUUUUCUCACACUGAGCCCAGUGGGAUAAUAAUACAUUAAUACAUGCAUGUAUUAAUUUUCAUUAAGAAUCACAUGAGACAACAGUGCAAGAAUCUAGGGAACUGCUUGGCCCACAAAUUCAUAUAGUUAAUAUUCUCUGAAGGAAUCUUCAUGGGGAGAUGAAAUGUUUCUGAAAGGGUGUCUUCAGGGGAUCAUGAUAAAAGUAUUUUCAUCUCGCUCUGAUUUCUUUUUUUUUUUCCCGCUCUGAUUUCUUUAGGUUCAAAAGGCGUUUCUCCUAUCUGCUGUGUUUGGGCUUUACUGAAUCUCUACUGCACUCUGAAGAUUUGAAGGCUUAUUGAUAACUGUGUGAUUUCCACAAUUCUGUACUCAAAUGUUGGCAUCAAGUAUUGUAGGGUUCCAUUCUACAGAAAGGGGAAGCAAGGCUGCCAGAGGCUGGAUGCCUUGAACAAGGGGGUGUGGAUCCACUUCCUGCAGGAAGCUGCCCAGUUUAAAGGUCUGGAGCCAUCUAAUCUGCCUGCUAGCAGCCACCUGAUGUCCUGGGAGCCUCUACCUGCAAAUAACUUGAAGGACAAGAGUGACAACUGCCGUGUGCUGUGCACCAUCUACUUUCAGCUGGAAGUGUCCAUCCCGUUUCAUCUCUUCAUUCCUGUGGACGAUCCUUGGGCACAGGGUUAAUCCAGGAGGAGGAUUUAGUAACAAGGUUGCCUGGCCUCUGGGCCUGGGCGGGAGAGCUGUUGUUCCAGCCCUGUCCCUCAGCCACACUGAUCAGAGUGGGGCUCCGAGCUUCAUUUGGGAGACAGAGCAGCAGUCACCCUGAAUCUCACCCUGCAGACUCUGGGGGUUCAGAGGUUGGGAGGGCAGAGCUGCAGGCCCAGGCAGCAAGAGUAGGUGGAGACUUCGCAGCAGCUGCAGCAAAAGGGAAGGACUGGCCGAGAGUGCUGCACUCUGUGCUCCCAGACAUCUGGAGGAAACUUUGGGCAUGCGCAGGACCUCAAGCCUGGCAGCCAGCUGUGAAGGCCGGUGCCCAUGAGACACUCAGCUCAUGUCAUUUCUCCCAUCCGACAGGGGAGUCCACCUGCCCAGCCCCACCUGGAGUCCUUUCACUUCGCCUUGCAGCAGGAAAGUGCCCAGAGAUGUUAGCCAAGGCCACAGUUGGCCAUUGCUGCCCUAGAGGCUUAUACGUGGGUCUUGGACUCCAGGGACACCGGUGAGGUCACUGGGCCUCAGAGGCUGGAGUUGGGGGCACCAGUGUGCCCCAUGGUGAUGUCUGAAGAACGCAUCCCAUCCCAUGAGUCCUUUCGCAGGGCAGGCGCUGGGCUCUGAAAGCUGCCCUCACAAAGAUGCCUGCAGCUCCCACUCUUUCCAGAGGAGCCAUCAGCCCUCGGCUAGGAGGGCAAAGGUCACUGUGCUGAGAGAAUGACCUCUUUCUCUCAGAAAGCUGCUGCUUUCAGAGCUGUGGCCACCCCAGCCUGGCCAUCACGCAGGCCUGCACCAAGAAAUAAAAGGUUCUCACAGCCGGGUAGGCGCUGUGACACAGUUUAAUUUGCUGUAA